RNAcentral lists this ribosomal RNA (315 nucleotides) under uncultured bacterium. RNAcentral's name for it is "bacterial SSU rRNA". It matches the Rfam family "Bacterial small subunit ribosomal RNA", at positions 30 to 342 of the family's 1533-position model. The record is from RNAcentral.
AUUGAACGCUGGCGGCAUGCCUUACACAUGCAAGUCGAACGGCAGCACGGGGGCGAACCCUGGUGGCGAGUGGCGAACGGGUGAGUAAUGCAUCGGAACGUGCCCAGUAGUGGGGAGUAACUAGUCGAAAGAUUAGCUAAUACCGCAUACGACCUAUGGGUGGAAAGCGGGGGAGUCGCAAGACCUCGCGCUAUUGGAGCGGCCGAUGUCUGAUUAGCUAGUUGGCGGGGUAAAGGCCCACCAAGGCUUCGAUCAGUAGCUGGUCUGAGAGGACGACCAGCCACACUGGGACUGAGACACGGCCCAGACUCCUAC